This 420-nucleotide ribosomal RNA is filed under the name uncultured bacterium. Its description in RNAcentral is "bacterial SSU rRNA". It matches the Rfam family "Bacterial small subunit ribosomal RNA", at positions 355 to 774 of the family's 1533-position model. The record is from RNAcentral.
UAAGGAAUAUUGCUCAAUGGGAGAAAUCCUGAAGCAGCAACGCCGCGUGGAGGAUGAAGGGUCUAUGACUUGUAAACUCCUGUAAAGAAGGAAAAAAUUCCCAUUUGAUGGGAGAUGAUGGUACUUCUGGAGUAAGCCCCGGCUAACUACGUGCCAGCAGCUGCGGUAAUACGUAGGGGGCGAGCGUUAUUCGGAAUUACUGGGUGUAAAGGGUAUGUAGGCGGCCCUUCAAGUCGCGUGUCAAAGUCCAGUGCUCAACGCUGGGUGUGCGCGCGAUACUGACGGGCUUGAAGGCUGGAGAGGUGAGCGGAAUUCCCGGUGUAGUGGUAAAAUACGUAGAGAUCGGGAGGAACACCAGCGGCGCAGGCGGCUCACUAGACAGUUUCUGACGCUAAGAUACGAAAGCGUGGGGAGCAAACA